GGAUUAGGCAUGCAAGUCGAGCGAGAACCCGCAAGGGGGACAGCGGCGAACGGGGUAGGACAACGUAGGUAACGUACCCUCGGGGCGUGGACAGCCACGGGAAACUGUGGGUAAUACUCGAUAAACUUCCCAAUCAUUAUGGAAGGGGAAGCAAUGGGUGUGAUUCCACCUGAGGAGCGGCUUACGCAGUAUCAGCUAGUUGGUGAGGUAACGGCUCACCAAGGCUACGACGCUUAGGGGGUGUGAGAGCAUGGCCCCCACCACUGGCACUGAGACACUGGCCAGACACCUACGGGUGGCUGCAGUCGAGAAUCUUCGGCAAUGGACGCAAGUCUGACCGAGCGACGCCGCGUGCGGGAUGAAGGCCUUCGGGUUGUAAACCGCUUUGGUCCGAGAGAAAGGGCAACUUGAUCGAUCGGAGAAACAAGGACGGGCUAAGUUCGUGCCAGCAGCCGCGGUAAUA
RNAcentral lists this ribosomal RNA (463 nucleotides) under uncultured bacterium. Its description in RNAcentral is "bacterial SSU rRNA". It matches the Rfam family "Bacterial small subunit ribosomal RNA", at positions 46 to 525 of the family's 1533-position model. The record is from RNAcentral.